UGUACCUUCGGUGUUCGUCUAUUAUUCUUUCAUUGAUUUUAAUCGAUAAAUCAGCUAGCAGAUCCUGAACUAACGCGUCAUUCGUUCUUCUCUAUUUCUUUCAUCCAUCGCAACGACUAUAGUUUCUUUCCAAGACGAUCUCAAGAUCAACGAAUCGAGGUAACCGGGUUACAUUUCCUGUGUCGAUUCGUACGGAGGUUGAAAUUCUUGGCCCGAUCGACGAUCGAAAGAGCGAACCAGCUACGUUGACGUUUCCGGGGAAAAAAAGAUGCUGGUAAACACCGGUGGAUCCCCAGUUGGCCAGUUUCGAUGACUAUCUCUAGCACGGGUGUCUAUUCGCGGAGAGAAAAACGGAUAGUUGGCAGCCGCACAGUCAGCGAAUUUAGAUUCCCCGCGAACGUUUGACCGUUACGCAACGUCCAAGAGAAAAUCGCAGCAAGACGACGGAAAAAGAUGCGGACAUUCGCGCACGAUUUCCGCCAAAUUGCGGCGCCAGUCGCACUUUGCUCGUGGAAAGUGUUCCUCUAACCGCUAAUUCCGAGAAGAACUUUGAAAACUAGUAAGCUCGUUUGAAAAUGUAAACAUCGAACGGAUCGUGGCCGAUCUUCCGUCCCAGAGGAUUCCCAUGCUUUUCUAUCGCUAACGAAGAAAACGUUAUGGGUACGAAAAGAAAAUCCGACUCACGUCGUAAACGUAAACCUUUCGUAGCCACCUGUUUCGUGUUCGUCUCGCGUGUCAUUCAUUUCCUCUGUUCUAUGUAGAUAUAAUUUUUUUACGAGUGCCCUUUGACGGUUAGCAGCCCUAGUCCUAAAAUCCUAAAAAGCUUCUCGUUUUUCCCUCUCUCUAAGAUUCUAAGGCUCUAUUCAUUUUCGAGUAAAAUUUCCACCCUAUUAAGCUAUGUCCAGCGAUUAACAGCUAACUGGAACGGAGAACGUUUUAUUUUACGGGCAAACUUGCUCCCAUUCGUAAAUAAACGAAUCCGAAACCUAUACACAGUUUACGAGUGUUUGUCAGCUCGAAACAUCGAUAGGCAGUUCUAUUUUUGGUAUUAAGAAUUUCAAUUCUGACGAUCGAUUGCCAACUCGAGUACAGCUCGAUUCUUCUUUUUCUCGUUUAUUUACGUUACGCGAUCUACCUCAAUUCGUCUUUCGUUUGGAACGUGACCUACGCGAGAAAUAAAUGAACAUCGGCCAAUUUUGGACGAGGCUGCUAAAGAAAAGCCUUUGUCGAUCAUUCAAAUGCAAGGAAAACGACGAGUUUUCGGUAAUCGACCGCGAAUCGUUUUAUGGCGAACGAUAGAUUAGAAGCUGUGCCCGUAAAGAGGGUUCCUAUUUCGUAGCUCGAUUCGAGAUAUUUCGAGGUGGGAUCUCAGUCAGAACAAUGGCAUCCAGGAAUAUUAAGCGUGACCGACAUUCGCUGGGUUGGAGUGGCGGACAUUCUUCUCAACGAAUCGGUCCUCGUGAAAAGCACCGUAAACAGGAAGUUCAGCACGCAAAAUGGACACGGAAAAUGUACGCGUUCACCUCGGGAUGGAAAAUAAGAUAAACCAACGGUGGCCUCUGAAACGUUACGCUCAGGUUUUCUCUUCGCCUUUGCUUUUCCUGCCAACUGAAAAAUCCUAUUUCCGAGAUACUUGCGGAACAACGUGGAUUUCCGCUUCGGCGUUAACAUGCUCCCGCAGUUAAAAUAUGUAUAGUAUGUGAUAGAAUGUGUAAAUAUUAAAUACGGUGGUACUUUCAUUAUUUUUUCACAGUGAAAAAUAAAUAUCGUUAUUUGAAUUUUAAGGUA
Molecule: non-coding RNA, 1788 nt
Organism: Osmia lignaria (orchard mason bee)
Lineage: Eukaryota; Metazoa; Arthropoda; Insecta; Hymenoptera; Megachilidae
Source: RefSeq, a predicted model, not a curated record